GGCAAGUUUUUAGAAGGACCGUCAACAGGUGAAUCAUAAAGGUAAGGGGCUGCAAUUUGUCCAUAUUUAUCAGAUACAAUCUUGGGUUCAGCAGGUUCACGAUGACCACUUGUCAGAGCCUGAAGAUCAAGUAGAACAAAGCUAAUUUAUCAGAUACAAUCUUGGGCUCAGCAGGUUCACGAUGGCCACUUGUCAUAGCCUGAAGAUCAAGUAGAACAAAGCUUCAAUAUCAAAUUGACAUGCUAAUAAAUCUCACUUCCAAGUUUUUCCAUUGAUAGGUUAUUAUCCACAGCGAGCCU
This 299-nucleotide long non-coding RNA is filed under the name Nicotiana benthamiana. Its description in RNAcentral is "long non-coding RNA (NBEN_LNC034555)". Lineage: Eukaryota; Viridiplantae; Streptophyta; Magnoliopsida; Solanales; Solanaceae. The record is from RNAcentral.